RNAcentral lists this transfer RNA (72 nucleotides) under Microcaldota archaeon. RNAcentral describes it as "tRNA-Ala". It matches the Rfam family "tRNA". From Rfam's summary of the family: Transfer RNA (tRNA) molecules are approximately 80 nucleotides in length. Their secondary structure includes four short double-helical elements and three loops (D, anti-codon, and T loops). The record is from RNAcentral. Lineage: Archaea; Nanobdellati; Microcaldota.
GGGCUCGUAGCGCAGCGGUAGCGCGCAUCGUUCGCAACGAUGAGGUCGCGGGUUCAAAUCCCGCCGAGUCCA